CCAGCCAGCAACGGCAAACAGCGCAGGUCCGCUUCCCGUCUGUGGAAGCUUUGUUCUUUCGCUCUUGACAAUAAAUCUUAAUGCUGCUCUCUCUUUGGGUCCAUGCCAUCUUUAAGAGCUGUGACACUUACAGCCAAGGUCCGGGGCUCCAUUCUUGAAGUCAGCGAGACCACGAAUCCACCGGAAGGAGCAAACUCUGGACAUGGCAUGUGCUUUUGCAGGAAGGACGCUGGACUCUUGCACUAUAAGUUGAAAACAUCGCUUAUAAACAAUACAUCACAGCACACUUGCAGAGAGAGCACUGGUUCAUCAAAAUAAGAUAUGAUCAAGGUACAAAAGAGUUAAAGAAGCUAUUUAUUUUAAUGUUUCCUUGGAGAGCACACUUGUUAUUAUGCCUGCCCCAGCUUUGCCUUCCACCAUGAGUAAAAGCUUCCCAAGUCCUCCCCAGAAGCAGAUGCUGGCGCUAUGCUUCUGGUACAGCCUGAAAAACCUUGAGCCAAUUAAACCUCAGUGAGCUCAAGAUGUCUUUGUUGAAACAGAACCUCCCGAAGUUACAGUAUUGGUUUUGGGGCUCCACACAGAGAACACAUCACGGAAGCUAUAAUUGAGGAAGACAAAGCUGUCAGGACGACACCAAGAGAGUUAGAAAGCCCAAGAGUGGAGCAUUCUUCACCAUGAUUCCACCUGACACUUGGCUGAAAGCAUUUUGCACUAAUUUGCUUUGUGCCCGUUCAGACAAUCUAAAAAGAAAGGAUGGGGGGACAACAAGUGUCUAUUACACAGAAUAAACAGCCUCUGGCAAAUGAAUACAUUUUACACACUUGUGCUUUUGGAGGGAUGGGGUAGUGAUGAGGGGAAGGGGAAUGGAGGAGGAGAAGUCAAGGAUUAGAGGUCUCUUCAGCAUCUCAGGACUGCCUCUCUCUCUCUGUGGUCACAGGGGUAGGUUUGGUCCACAUGGCAGACAUGAAACUCAAGAUACAGCCCUGGCGUAUACGGGUUGGGAGGCCAGUGCUGCCUCUGGUGGUCCCCCCAGACCUGCAAUUCAUAUUUUGAAUGGGUUUAAAGCCUACUUGGCAAUUACUUUUAUCCUCUAAUGAAAUAGAUUUGAACCACUUUCCCUUGAUUAUAUUUUAAAUGUUUACCCCCAUAUAAAUAUAACUGCUCUGAGGUGGGAGGGGUUAAGCCUCUCCUAUGAAUCAAUUAAAGA
This 1207-nucleotide long non-coding RNA is filed under the name Homo sapiens (human). Its description in RNAcentral is "HSALNT0383577". Lineage: Eukaryota; Metazoa; Chordata; Mammalia; Primates; Hominidae. The record is from RNAcentral.